Molecule: long non-coding RNA, 495 nt
Filed under: Rhinopithecus bieti (black snub-nosed monkey)
Lineage: Eukaryota; Metazoa; Chordata; Mammalia; Primates; Cercopithecidae
Description: lncRNA (ENSRBIG00000045204.1)
Source: RNAcentral
AUGCUGACCACCUUGUUUCUAUCUUUUGUUCAUUACUCCAUCCUGAACUCUGGGCCACUCUAUGCAGCAUCUGUUAGACAUCUCCAUUUGAAUGCAUCCAAGAUGACUCAACUACAGCUUGUUCAGUAUGAAACUCAUCAUAUUCUCCCUCAUUUAUUCCGAACUGUUAAAAAAAAAAAAAAAUUGAUCUGGUGUGGUGACCUGUAAACCCAGCACACUAGGAGGCCUAGGUGGAAGGAAUACUUGAGGCCAGGAAUUUGAGACCAGCCUGAGCAACAUGGUGAGACAACAUCUCCAAAAAAAUUUAAAACAAUAAAUUAGCAGGGCACAGUGGUACAUACCUGUUGUCCUAGGUACUCAGGAGGCUGAAGUGGGAAGAUCACUAGAGCAAGGAGUUUGAGGUUAUGGAGAGCUAUGUGAUCAUGACCCUGUACUCCAGCCUGGGAGACAGAGCGAGACCUUAGAAAGAAAGAGAGAGAGAAAGAGAGAAGGAAG